AUUGAACGCUGGCGGCAUGCUUUACACAUGCAAGUCGAACGGUAACAGGUUAAGCUGACGAGUGGCGAACGGGUGAGUAAUGCAUCGGAACGUGCCCGAUCGUGGGGGAUAACGCAGCGAAAGCUGCGCUAAUACCGCAUACGAUCUGAGGAUGAAAGCGGGGGACCGUAAGGCCUCGCGCGAUCGGAGCGGCCGAUGUCAGAUUAGGUAGUUGGUGGGGUAAAGGCUCACCAAGCCGACGAUCUGUAGCUGGUCUGAGAGGACGACCAGCCAAACUGGGACUGAGACACGGCGCAGACUCCUACGGGAGGCAGCAGUGGGGAAUUUUGGACAAUGGGCGCAAGCCUGAUCCAGCAAUGCCGCGUGCAGGAAGAAGGCCUUCGGGUUGUAAACUGCUUUUGUACGGAGCGAAAAGGCUCUCUCUAAUACAGGGGGUUCAUGACGGUACCGUAAGAAUAAGCACCGGCUAACUACGUGCCAGCAGCCGCGGUAA
RNAcentral lists this ribosomal RNA (493 nucleotides) under uncultured bacterium. RNAcentral's name for it is "partial 16S ribosomal RNA". It matches the Rfam family "Bacterial small subunit ribosomal RNA", at positions 29 to 523 of the family's 1533-position model. The record is from RNAcentral.